RNAcentral lists this ribosomal RNA (447 nucleotides) under uncultured bacterium. Its description in RNAcentral is "bacterial SSU rRNA". It matches the Rfam family "Bacterial small subunit ribosomal RNA", at positions 355 to 825 of the family's 1533-position model. The record is from RNAcentral.
UGGGGAAUAUUGGACAAUGGGCGAAAGCCUGAUCCAGCAAUGCCGCGUGAGUGAUGAAGGCCUUAGGGUUGUAAAGCUCUUUUACCAGGGAUGAUAAUGACAGUACCUGGAGAAUAAGCUCCGGCUAACUCCGUGCCAGCAGCCGCGGUAAUACGGAGGGAGCUAGCGUUGUUCGGAAUUACUGGGCGUAAAGCGUACGUAGGCGGUGACUCAAGUCAGAGGUGAAAGCCUGGAGCUCAACUCCAGAACUGCCUUUGAAACUAGGUCGCUAGAAUCACGGAGAGGUGAGUGGAAUUCCGAGUGUAGAGGUGAAAUUCGUAGAUAUUCGGAAGAACACCAGUGGCGAAGGCGACUGACUGGACAAGUAUUGACGCUGAGGUACGAAAGCGUGGGGAGCAAACAGGAUUAGAUACCCCUGUAGUCCCUGAGCGGGCUGGCAAGGCGCAU